GAUGAACGCUGGCGGCGUGCCUAAUACAUGCAAGUCGAACGCUGGAGAUCUAGCUUGCUAGAUCGAAGGAGUGGCGAACGGGUGAGUAAUACAUAAGCAACCUACCCACGAAGACUGGGAUAAUCUCUGGAAACGGGGACUAAUACCGGAUAGGUAAUCGGAAGGCAUCUUCUGGUUAUUAAAGGUUAAAAACACUGGUGGAUGGGCUUAUGGCGCAUUAGUUAGUUGGCGAGGUAACGGCCCACCAAGACGAUGAUGCGUAGCUGGCCUGAGAGGGUGAACGGCCACAUUGGGACUGAGACACGGCCCAGACUCCUACGGGAGGCAGCAGUAGGGAAUUUUCGGCAAUGGGGGCAACCCUGACCGAGCAACGCCGCGUGAGUGAAGACGGCCUUCGGGUUGUAAAGCUCUGUUGUAAGGGAAGAACGGUAGAUAGAGAAUAUCUAAGUGACGGUACCUUACCAGAAAGCCACGGCUAACUACGUG
Molecule: ribosomal RNA, 486 nt
Filed under: uncultured bacterium
Lineage: Bacteria
Description: partial 16S ribosomal RNA
Rfam family: Bacterial small subunit ribosomal RNA
Source: RNAcentral